Molecule: long non-coding RNA, 1047 nt
Organism: Sipha flava (yellow sugarcane aphid)
Lineage: Eukaryota; Metazoa; Arthropoda; Insecta; Hemiptera; Aphididae
Exons: 3
Source: RefSeq, a predicted model, not a curated record
ACUGGAUAGUGAAUAUUUAAUAUGUGUACAUUUAUAAAUAUAUGAAAGUUACGAACAUUUAUAUUACCUAUUUAAGUUUAACGUCUGUUUAUUAGAAUCAUUCUAUUAGGCAGUGUAGGGGACAUAGGCCCACGUCUAGGUCCGCAUUUAAAAAUAUUUGACGUAGUACUUAGUGUAAAGGGUGUCACAAAACUUAAGUUUGCUUAGGACGUGUGUUUCAACACUUAAGCCGGGCCUGCUGUUAGGAGUAGUUACGGUGAGAACUAUGACAAUAUAUUCAAUUCUUUUUUUAAGAAACAUUUUUUGUUUAAUAUUUAAAUUUCAAGGGUGGUGAGACGAUUUAAGUGUAGUGAUCUUGAACUCAGAUUUUUUUUGUUCUUAUCACUCCAGUUGAACUGGGGUAUUAAGUCCAUUCAUGACAACGCUACAUAAAAAAAAAUGUAUAUUACAAUAUUUUUGAUUUUUCAAAAGACUACACUGUAAAAUCUCGUCUGCUUGCGCUUCAACAUUACAACUAGUGAUGGUAAACAGCUAUUUUUUUUUUUUUUUGUAAAAUCUGAUAAUGCUAUUGCUAUUUGAACGAGAGGAUCGCAACAGCAAUACGAGCUAGUUUUUCGGACCAGUUAUCAUAGCUAAAAUUAUUGAUAGUUUCAUUUUCAUCCUGUGUUUGUUAUCACUAAUGUAUUAUAUCAAAUAGCAUCCAGACUGUGCCGCAACUAGAAGUGGGACAGGGGGUGAUCAGCACUGUCAAGGGUCUUCAGCUUAGAAAAAUUGAGGACUCAAAAUGCAUAGAAUUUAUUGUACUGUAUACAUUUGAGAGAAUAUCAAGACCAGUGGCACACCAUGAUAACUGCUCUGAAAAACAAGCUCACAUUGCUGUCGCGAUCCUCUCGUCUAUUUGAGUGAUUGGCACUUGUCCGUAAAAUGAUUCGGACCUAAGAAAUGAUAAGGUCCGAAAUUUGAAAAAGCCGUUCCAACUGACUAAAUCGAAAAUUACCAAAUCCAAUUAUAUCAUAUUUAUAUUAUGAUAAAAGUUUUAUAACAACA